UACGGAGGGUGCGAGCGUUGUCCGGAAUCACUGGGCGUAAAGGGCGCGUAGGUGGCCUGUGGAAGUCUGCGGUGAAAGCCCGGCGCUCAACGCCGGGUCGGCCGUGGAUACUCUCGGGCUUGAGCUUACUAGAGGCAGAUGGAAUUCCGGGUGUAGCGGUGGAAUGCGUAGAGAUCCGGAAGAACACCGGUGGCGAAGGCGGUCUGCUGGGGUAAUGCUGACACUGAGGCGCGACAGCGUGGGGAGCAAACAGG
This 254-nucleotide ribosomal RNA is filed under the name uncultured bacterium. Its description in RNAcentral is "partial 16S ribosomal RNA". It matches the Rfam family "Bacterial small subunit ribosomal RNA", at positions 524 to 776 of the family's 1533-position model. The record is from RNAcentral.